ACACAAUAUUCACUUUGUAAAUUUAACAAAUACAAUCAGAUGGGAAAGAGAUAUAUAAAUCUGGAGUUCAUAUACCAGCUUUUAUUCUUUGUGCCACUAAUUUGAUCUAAAUUGUCACUAUUUUGUCAUCAGAGCAUGGGCCUGUUAUUUGGGUGGCAUGCACUCAUUAGAUGACCAUUCGCCUAUCCAGCCAUCGUCUUUUAGCUCCCGCCCUGCCCUGCGGCCAGCCCUGUGCCAAGCAGGCACGGGGACCAGAGGGGUGGAAACCUGCUUCUCGGUGUGGAAGAGCUGCCAGCCUGGUGGAGGACCGUCGGGGACACAAACAGCCUCCAGGCUAAGGCUACUCGAAGGACUUCCUGCCAUGUGGUUGCUCCAAGUGAGAAACAGUUGGAUACCAGGCUACAGUGCAGCAGGUGUCCUGGGAUUGGAAAUCUUACCACUGCAAAUGGCAGCUUGAGUGUGUGUGCACAUGCACACGUGCGUGCACACAUUGGCUGUGUCUCAACCUGACCUGCAGAACGACAGGCUGGCAAUGACGCAGUUCUAGCAAUGAUGUGCUGAUUACACCUACCAGCAGAACUGUGGCUUCAGAGCCAGAUGAAGAAACAGAGGCACAGAGAGGAGAAACAACUUGCUAAAGACAACACAGCAGACCUGGGAUUUGAACCCAGGUAGCUGUUCGGGCUGUGGAGUAUAUAUUCCCAAUCCCACUGCUAUAGAAGCCGUUUCCUAACUGAAGAGAAGAUGGAUGGACAGUUGGACGUCAGGCAAAGGUGAGAAGGGAUCCAUCAUCUACCAAGUGUCUCCUAUGCAACAGGCCCUGUAGUGAGUGGGCUCUUCGCCUUUCACACCAUGUACAACCCUCACAACAAGUGUGCAGGGCUAGUCAUGUCUCUAGUUUGCACACGAGGAAACUGGACUCAGAAGGUUAACAUGAUUUGGAAGAGUCCCUCACCGCAGAGCUGAAAUUUGAAGCAAAAGUCUCUCCCACCAGCACCCAAGGUCUUUCCAGUCCUGCAGUGUGCCCCUCGGGGGCCACAGGGGGCACGGGGCGUGGCGUGGGGCAGCUCUCUGGUUGUGGAACCAGGGCCCCAGCAGCCAGCCCCCCACCGCACCCACCGCGGAUUGGCAGCCUUCUUGUGAACUUUGCUCAUUACAGGUUUUCAUUUUCAGUGAUGCUCCUGACAGCUUUUGUGGGAUGAUUGCAGGGUGGAAGACUGCAACCUUUAAAGGUUUGGUAAAAACUCUGCAAGUGGGAGGUCUGUCGUCUUUCCGGGGCGUGUUGUCAGCUGCAGCUUAGAGAUGUUUCUUUACAAACCCUGGUGCCUGAGCUCUGGGGCGGGGACAGCCUGAACUCCGGCAAAGGCCCAAAGGCCGGGAUGCAGGAGGAGGGGGAAACCAGGAGAGAGGGGGCAGUGAGAUGACAGGCUGGGGCUCCAGGGUCGGCAGGGGCCUCCAAGGAAAGCCUGUGCCCGGGCCCUCGGAGCAGCUCUGAGGCCACAACAGGGGUCCCUGCACAGCACUCGGGCCUGGAGAGAAGCCGGCAGUCUGGCAGGACCUGUCUCCUUUUGUGCCCCUGGAAAUCGAAUUGCCAGUCCUGACUUGCCUUUGGCUCUUUGCCUCAGUUUCCCUCUUCUCUAUUCUUGAGCCUGUAGGGUCAUAUUGAAGCUGAAGCUUGCCAGCCCAACUCCUUCCAAUCCUGCAGGGUGCCCCUCAGGGCUGUGGAGGGCCCGAGGGGGCUGCGGCAUGGGGCAGCUCACUGGUGGACCGGAGCCCCAGGAGCCAGCCCCCCACCACAUGCACCACAGCCUUCUUGUGAACCUUGCUCCUUGCAGGUUUUCAUCCCUUACUUCUGCGCACCUUGGUGGAGGCAAGCCCUGGGGAAUGCAGAGGCAUAGCAGGUGCUGCUUCUAGCUUAAGAUCCUCGUAGCCCAAGGGGACAUCUGCAGAUGCAGGUGGCUCCAGGCAUAGGAGAGGAGCUGAAGAGAUCAGUGAGAUUCCAAGCAACUGGAGUAGGUAGGGUGGAUGGGGACCAGUGGGGAGAAAAGUGGCGUAGAAAUCAUACGGGGCUGAAUGCCAUUCAGAAAAGUUCUGACAUUUCCUGUGACUCAACAUUUUCUUAUAUGUGGUCUCAGGAACACUCAUAUCAGAAUCAGCUUGCAGCACUCAUAGAAAUGCAGAUUCUGGUUCCCACUCCCUGAACCAAAGGGGAUCUCAGAAGAUGCCCAGGAAUGAGCAUUUUUUAAAGUGCUUGAAUAAACAGUAUGCAUUCCUGUAGACAAAGUUUUUAGCUGCAGUGAGGCGAUUAGCUCUGACUUUUAGGCAUAUCCCUCUGGAAGGGCAAAGGAUGGCAUGAGAGAAGUCUGUUGUUAAACAAGUCUCCCAUGCACCAAAGGUGGGGCAGAGGCCAAUUGCUCGGCAGAGAGGGAGCUUCUCUACCGGGCUUUCCACACCAAAGGCCAUUUUGAAUGUCCUAGAAGACCAGCACCUAUGCAGCUUCAGCACAAGUGAGCUUUGUGGGUGGUAAGCCAAGCAGCCAGGGCUGCUGCGGUACACAAUUCCAGCCUGGCAAUCGUGUAGCCUGGAAUGUGGCUAGUGCCCCAGCAAUGGUGCAGUGCCUUGGCCCUGCAAGUAGGCAAUCCUGAAAUGAAUGUGACAGAGAAAACCCAAAGGAAGCAGAGCUUGAAAGCAGCUGGUGGGGUCCCACAUCUUUGUCCCACUAGAGGGAAAGCUGGCACAGCAUCUGGGACUCUGCCACAGAAGUUAUCUGCAGGCAACCCUUCUUUUGUAGUUGUAUCUACAUGUUGCAAGUGUUAAAAAAAAAAUGUGGGGUUCAGAAGAGUUUAAAAAAGAAAAAAAAAUUUUCCCCUCACCUUUCAUUUUUACCCUCCAGAGGUAACCACUGUUAAUAAUGUUCGGUGUAUUCAUCCAGAAAAAUACUAUAUAAGCAUAAAAGAAGUCUUCUGAACACCAAUCAGCUCAUACUCUACAUGCAGUACUUGAACUUGUGCCUGUUUGUUCGUUUAAAAUAUAUCCUGGAUAGUGUAUCAUAUGAGCUUACAGAGCUAGGUCUCAUUCUUUUUCAUGGCUACAUAGACCUCCAUGGCAUAGAUGCAACUUCAUUUUAUUUUAUUAUUUUAUUUUAUUCUUAAGAGUUCAGCUUUUUAUUGAACAAGUUACAGAAGAGGCUUAGUCAAAAAGACCAAAGCAUGAGUCACCAUCAGACUCCUGAUUCUUCUUUCUUUGCUUCCAUUUUCUCCUCCUGGGCUGGCGCCGCAGUGGGGGAAGGAGCGCCGGGCCUUCUGUGGGGCAGCACCUGCUACUGGGGCAGGUCCCCGAGCCCCAUCUUGCAGAGCUGCAAGAUGAGGCUCCCAAUGUGGAGGCCCUGGCAAACAAGCCCUGCCAGAAAGGUUCAACAUUCACACCUGCUGCCUGAAGGAGGACAUUGAUCUUAUCCUCCGUGGGGGCUGAGGGCCAAGUAGAUGCAGGCGAGCUCUGAGACAGAGGCUCUCCUGUGGCCGGGGGAGCAGGUGGGCAAGUGCUGAGCAGGCACUGCCUCGCAGGACCCUAGUCCCCAGAUGAAGUGAGGGCCUCACUCUAACCCAGUCUUAGCUUUCUCAGAAGGAUCCAGGAUCUCAGCGGCAUCUGAGGAAAAGGGGUCACCUUCAUUUUAUUUAUAACCAGCCCCUGUGAACAGAUCUUCAGUUUCCAAUUUUUGCCUUUAAAGACAUGACUGUCCUCUUCUUUACACCCCAUGCUGGCUUUCUCUCUUAUGAGCUCCCCCUCCGGUCUAUGUGGGCUGUGCCACGAGGCCACUUCUUUGUAUCAGAGCCACAGUGAUCCACUGCAGAAUGAAUUACUAAUUGCACAACGUUUUGUUUUUCUCCAACUACAGUUGCUCUAAGUUCCAUUUAAGGAGGGAGUCUUUAGCAGCAAGUUUACAAAGCUGCUUUGGGGCCAUCACUCUGGUCGAAAGAUGCCUCUUUGUUACAUACUUCCCAGGAAUCAGGGCUCUUUGGGACCCGGACUAUUCAGCUCCCUCCCUAAGCUGCCCCCAGGUCCUCCAAAUCUGUCCCCUUCUGCAGCAGAAGAUGUUAAGAUGCAGUAGAAAUUGCUCAGACUUUGAAGUCAUUCUAAAGCAGGAUCAAAUCUUGGCUUUGCCUUCAUGAGCGCCAGAGAGUGAAUCACUCACUCCUCCGAGCCUCUAUUUCCUGACCUAUAAAAUGGGAUAAAUAUAGCUCCUAAUUACAAGGUUGAAGGGUCAUAGAACAUUUCUAUCUUUAUAUAUACACGAAAGGCUUACCGGAGUGCCGGGUGUCCGCAGCAGGUGUGCUGCCCACUUUGCGCCUUUGCGGUCAUUGUCGGUGCAAGCCAAGAUUUUGGGAGGCAAGGUUGAAGAGUUGAAAACAGAUUCUCCCCACCCCCACCGGGACCCAGCAGGUGUCAUCUCUGCUGCUGCCAAAUCCAUUCUUUCUGACCUUUAGGAACUCAUUCAACUGCAAAUGUUUAUUGGCCUCCUCCUUGGGAGGGUGGCAAAGCAUAUUGCUUAGCCGUUUAGCAUCCAAAUGGGAACUGUCACACACUGCUGGUGGGAAUGUAAAGUAUGCAACCACUUUGGAAAGCAGUCUGGCAGUUUCUUAUAAAACUCAGCAUAAAUCUACCCUUUGACCCAUUCUAAGUUGUAAAGCAAAGCAGGGAAAGCCUAUGUCCACAGAGAGACUAGCACAUCAGUAUUCGGAGCAUCUCUAUUCAAAAUAGCUGAAAGUGGGGGAGGGUUUGGGGAAUGGCCCAGGUGUCCAUAAACAAGAGAAUGAAUAAACAAACUGGUAUAGUCACUCAGUGGGAUACUACUCAGCAAUAGAAAGGAAUAAGCUACUCAUACAUGCAACUACAUGGGCAAAUCUGGAAGACAAUAGGCCAAGCAAAAGGAGUCAGCCACAAAAGGGAAACAUACUAUGUAAUUUCAUGGAUAUAAAGCUCUGGAAAAGGGACAUACCUAUAAUGGAGGAAAGAACCGUGAUUUUCUGGGAGCAAGUGAGGUGGGUAUUGCGUGGGAAGGCACAGGAGGGAACUUUCUGGAGUGAUGGAAAUGUUCUAAAUCUCCAUGAGGUUUGGGUAACACAGGUGUAUACGUUUGUUGAAUUUCAUUGAAUGCUACUAUUAAGAUUUGUGCAUUUCUCUCUGUAAUGUUAUCAACAAAACGUCAAUAAAUGUUGAACUCCAGGUAACGAUAUUCAUGCUGAAGAGUUUAGGGGUGAAGUAUACGGAUUUCUCCAACUUUCUUUGAAAUGCAUCAAAAAUGAGGUGGAUUGAUGGCUACGUAGGUGAAUAGACAUAUGGUAGAAUAAAUGUGGGAGAAUGCUAACAAUUGCAGAAUCUAGGGGGUAGGCACACAGGUGUUCACUGUAAACUUCCUUCGAAUUUUCAGUGUGUAUGAAGUUUUUCCUAACAUGAUGAUGAGAGGAAGCAUCCAGAACCUUAGUACCUGGGUUUGAACCUUAGCUCCACCCUUUCUUAGCUCUGCCACCUUAGACAAGUUCCUCAAUCUCUCCAUGCUGUGAAUUUCAUCAUCUGAAAAUGGAGAUGAAGUGUGGGUUUAUUCUGAAGAUUACAUGUGUUUUCACGUGGGAAGCGCUUGGAACAAUUGGUGGCACACAGCACUUAGUGUUUUCUUUGGCCCGUCAAUACACUGAGAUGUUAAUAGUGUGUCUCUGUCUUCAAAGACUAUAUCUAUAUAAUCCCCACCAACAUGCACCCUGAAAGGCAGCCUAGCAGACGCAUAUUAUUGAACCUUGGAGUCUAGAGUCCCAGGAGUCUCGGAUCAGUAGUUAUUCUCUUUGAACCCCAAUUUCCUCAUCUCUAAAUUGGGAAUAAUUCACAUUGCUUUGGGCUUUAAAGAUGAUUAAAUAAAGCAGCUAAAUGAAAGCGACUGAAGCAGGGUUCAAUAAUAAAUGCUCAUUGAAUGUGUACUUCCCAAACUAACCUCUCCUCUCUGCUGACAUAAUUGGAAGGGAUUGAUUGAGUCGUGGCCUAAUGCAGUACCCCUGCAUGCACACUCUUGGCAGGAUCUCAGUUGUAGGGCCCUGCAGCCUCUGCCAGGUGGAGGUGGUGGUAGGAGGAGCUGUGAGAGUAGGGAACAUCUUGCCCCAAGCACUUGGGGCAACUCCUUACCAGCCCUUCUCAGGGAUAUCACCUCAGCCUUCAGAGGCCUGCUGGCAGUCUAUUCAGCCCUGAAUCUGGAGUCAGCCGAGUCUGAUUCUGGAAUAGUCCUCUCGUUAUUUCAGACCUAUGUAGGACACCAAUUAUGUGGCAUCUCCAACCCCGGGCCUGGCAGGCCACUGUGUGGGGACAUGCUCUGGUAAGCCAAUAGACCAGAAGAGGCUGUUCACAAUGUCAACAGCUGAUUAUCCAGUGUAAUUUUAUUAUAAAAUGAUCAAAGGGAACAGAUUUUGACUUACAGUUAAAAGACCUGUCUUGGCAAAAAGUUAGAAUCACGGGUGAGACCAUCUACUAAAAUUUCAUGGAAACAAACAGUGAUUUAAACAAAAAGUUUAAACUGAUUUAGCAGGGCUUUCUAAAUCUAUUAUUUCAUGAUUUUUAAAAACUUUUCUAAUGGGUACUUUGACUUCCUAUUAAAAUGCCCUCUCUAUCUCACUGCCUGCCACUCCCCCAAAAAAGAAAAUCCCUCCAUGGUCAACUUCAUUGGCUUUUAGGGAAGCAAUUUUUCAUCCUCAGUCUUAAAAUCCAUUUGGAUUUCGAGAGGAUUUAAAUGCAUGUGUUGCUGAUACUCUUAUUUUUUACAAAGAUGCUAUUUUGUAAGAGAAAUUUGCAGAACCCCCUAGAGUCUCUUUAGAGAUCUUUUUAAAAUGCUUUGACGCUGUAGGAGUUGAAGGGCUGCUCGGAGCUCUGUGUGUGUUUUUUACCUUCCUCUUGGCAACACUUAAAUGGAAUUUAAAUCCCAAA
Canis lupus familiaris (dog) is the source of this 6963-nucleotide long non-coding RNA. RefSeq lists it as uncharacterized. The transcript is spliced from 3 exons. The record is from RefSeq and is a predicted model, not a curated record. NCBI's taxonomy places the organism in Eukaryota, Metazoa, Chordata, Mammalia, Carnivora, Canidae.